AGUAAAUUGCAAAUACCACCCCUGUGUAAUACGUAAUUGUCAAAUACCCCCUGUCAAAUACCCCCGUCAAAUAAAAAUUCACUCAUACCCUCCUGUGUAAUCAAAGUCAAAGCAUUGAGACCCCUGGAAUCGAAUCGUGUCUCACACGCGCGAGUUGUGCGAUUUUUCCUUCACUUUUGCUAUGGGAAAUGACAGAGUUGCCCCCCACAUCUUUUUCUUUUCUUCUUUGUUCGUCAUCUUCCUCACGAAUCGACCCCCUGCAUCAAAAACUCCCAAUCCAUGGCUGUCGAAACUCCAGCUGUGGAUUUGCAGUCACAUAUGUAUAUGUGUGUGUUGAUAAUGGUUACAGGAGCACUAUAAGGAUUUGCAGUCAAAAUCAUU
RNAcentral lists this long non-coding RNA (381 nucleotides) under Erythranthe guttata (spotted monkey flower). RNAcentral describes it as "long non-coding RNA (EGUT_LNC002437)". The record is from RNAcentral. Lineage: Eukaryota; Viridiplantae; Streptophyta; Magnoliopsida; Lamiales; Phrymaceae.